This is a long non-coding RNA of Apis dorsata (giant honeybee), 277 nucleotides long. RefSeq lists it as uncharacterized. The record is from RefSeq and is a predicted model, not a curated record. Lineage: Eukaryota; Metazoa; Arthropoda; Insecta; Hymenoptera; Apidae. The transcript has 2 exons.
UAUAGGUAAAAAAAUUUUUAAAUAAUUUUGGAACAAAUUUUAUACUUAAAUAAAAAAAUAAAAUGUCAAUUGCUGAUCAAGAUGCUGAUUGGAAUGAAAUGUUAAAAAUUGCAAAGNNUUACAACAACAAGAAUAUUAUGAACUUUUACCAGAAUGGACAAAAUAUACUGCAGAUGAAUAUAAAUAUUUAAGACAAAAUAUUGGAUAUGCAAUUUUUGGUCCUCCAUCAGAAAAUAAAGAAAAUAAAAAUGUAUAUAUUGAAGAUAAAGAAAUAGGA